This 276-nucleotide small RNA is filed under the name Arabidopsis thaliana (thale cress). Its description in RNAcentral is "ATSL104180". Lineage: Eukaryota; Viridiplantae; Streptophyta; Magnoliopsida; Brassicales; Brassicaceae. The record is from RNAcentral.
AAUGUUAAUAUUUCAUUAGAAAAUAAAAAAGUUAGGAAUUACAAGAAUGUAAAACCUAUAGUUUGGUCCCAUGGCAAAAAAGACUAAAAACAUGGGAGCAAAUAUCAAUUGGUCCAUCGACAUCAACAAAAAUAGUUAAGCUUUUGGAAUCAAUGAAGCGAUACAACAAUUUUGAUGAAUCGCAUAUAAUACACCUCAAAGAGAAAGAUAAUGCUGUUGAACGGCAAAGGUCGAAUCAAUGAAAACUUCCAUUUUCUCUUGUUACAAUAUUUCUCU